RNAcentral lists this ribosomal RNA (426 nucleotides) under uncultured bacterium. Its description in RNAcentral is "partial 16S ribosomal RNA". It matches the Rfam family "Bacterial small subunit ribosomal RNA", at positions 354 to 796 of the family's 1533-position model. The record is from RNAcentral.
GUGAGGAAUUUUCCGCAAUGGGCGAAAGCCUGACGGAGCAAUGCCGCGUGAAGGAUGAAGGCCUAUGGGUUGUAAACUUCUUUUCUCAGAAAAGAAUUAUGACGGUAUCUGAGGAAUAAGCAUCGGCUAACUCUGUGCCAGCAGCCGCGGUAAGACAGAGGAUGCAAGCGUUAUCCGGAAUGAUUGGGCGUAAAGCGUCUGUAGGUUGUUUAAAAAGUAUUCUGUCAAAGAUUAGGGCUUAACCCUAGAUAGGCAGAAUAAACUUUUAAGCUAGAGUUUGGUAGAGGCAGAGGGAAUACCCGGUGGAGCGGUGAAAUGCGUAGAUAUCGGGAGGAACACCAAAGGCGAAGGCACUCUGCUGGGCCAAUACUAACACUGAGAGACGAAAGCGAGGGGAGCAAAUGGGAUUAGAUACCCGAGUAGUCC